This 495-nucleotide ribosomal RNA is filed under the name uncultured bacterium. Its description in RNAcentral is "partial 16S ribosomal RNA". It matches the Rfam family "Bacterial small subunit ribosomal RNA", at positions 28 to 507 of the family's 1533-position model. The record is from RNAcentral.
GACGAACGCUGGCGGCGUGCCUAAUACAUGCAAGUAGAACGCUGAAGGAGGAGCUUGCUUCUCUGGAUGAGUUGCGAACGGGUGAGUAACGCGUAGGUAACCUGCCUGGUAGCGGGGGAUAACUAUUGGAAACGAUAGCUAAUACCGCAUAAUAGUAGAUGUUGCAUGACAUUUGCUUAAAAGGUGCAAUUGCAUCACUACCAGAUGGACCUGCGUUGUAUUAGCUAGUUGGUGAGGUAACGGCUCACCAAGGCGACGAUACAUAGCCGACCUGAGAGGGGGAUCGGCCACACUGGGACUGAGACACGGCCCAGACUCCUACGGGAGGCAGCAGUAGGGAAUCUUCGGCAAUGGACGGAAGUCUGACCGAGCAACGCCGCGUGAGUGAAGAAGGGUUUCGGAUCGUAAAGCUCGGUUGUAAGAGAAGAACGAGUGUGAGAGUGGAAAGUUCACACUGUGACGGUAUCUUACCAGAAAGGGACGGCUAACUACGUG